Cercocebus atys (sooty mangabey) is the source of this 2337-nucleotide RNA transcript. It is a transcript of the gene named leucine rich repeat containing 27, with no coding region annotated. NCBI's taxonomy places the organism in Eukaryota, Metazoa, Chordata, Mammalia, Primates, Cercopithecidae. The record is from RefSeq and is a predicted model, not a curated record. The transcript has 12 exons.
ACCCUCUCCCCGCGCAGGCGCACCACAACCCGCCCCCGCAUACGGGCACAAACCGCCACAACAGGCACACCCCCGCGCGCAGGCGCAGCACACCCCUCGCGCAGGCGCACCACGGACACACCCACGCUCGGGUUGGCGCCUGCGGGCUUCGGUACCGGCGUAUCCAUGGCGACCGCGUUGUCUGGGUGGCCUCCAUUGUUGGGCUGCAGCUCUCGGCGGCGUGACUCGCCAGCGCUCCAGUGGGCCGGGGAGCGGCAGGUGACUCCAGAGCAAGGAGGAUGAGCUGCUGUGCCUGGAAGAGAACGGAUGGAGGGAAGCGGCUCCUACACAGUUCCCUCCGUGGCUGCUGCUGAUCUGGAGGAGGGUGCUGGUCAGACUAGGAGCUGGCCUGCCACCCCCUCCAAAGAUGUUCACAAGUGUGUUGGAGGCAUCAUCUUUUCCUCCUCACCGAUUUUAGACUUGAGUGAAAGUGGUCUGUGCCAUUUGGAGGAGGUCUUUAGAAUCCCCAGCCUUCAACAAUUGCAUCUGCAAAGGAACUCCCUGUGUGUGAUUCCUCAAGAUUUCUUUCAGUUGCUGCCGAACCUGACUUGGCUGGACCUCCGGUACAACAGAAUUAAGGUGCUUCCUUCUGGGAUCGGAGCCCACAGGCAUUUGAAAACUCUGCUUUUAGAAAGAAAUCCUAUCAAAAUGUUACCUGUGGAGCUGGGGAGUGUAACCACGCUGAAAGCACUGAACUUAAGACACUGCCCUCUGGAAUUCCCUCCGCAGCUCAUUGUGCAGAAGGGAUUGGUGGCUAUCCAGCACUUCCUGCGGACGUGGGCAGUAGAACACUCUCUCCCCAGAAACCCAGCUUCUCAAGAGGCUCCACCGGUUAAAGAGAUGACCCUCCAUGACCUCCCGAGCCCAAGAUUGGAGUUGUCCGGAGACCACGCGUCUAACGAAGGAGCUGUGAACGCUCAGGGCCCAGAGGGGGCUGUGAUGAAAGAGAAGGCCGGCUUUCUCCCGCCUGUGGAAAAGCCAGACCUGAGUGAGCUCAGGAAGUCUGCUGACUCCUCAGAGCAGUGGCCCAGCGAGGAGGAGAUCAGGCGCUUUUGGAAGCUGAGGCAGGAGAUUGUUGAGCACGUGAAGGCAGACACUCUGGGAAAUCAGCUCUUACCGAGGGAAUUACCUCCAAAUCUCAAGGCGGCCUUGAACAGCGAGAAAGAACUGCCAAAGCCAAGACACGUUUUCAGAAGGAACAUGGCCUCCUCCAGGGACAUCUUACCCGACCUCUUGUCACCGUACCAAAUGGCGAUCCGAGCAAAAAGACUGGAAGAGAGCCGAGCGGCGGCGCUCCGAGAGCUCCGGGAGAAGCAGGCUCUGAUGGAGCAGCAGAGACGAGAGAAAAGGGCACUGCAGGAGUGGAGAGAGCGAGCCCAGAGGAUGAGGAAGAGGAAGGAAGAGCUCAGCAAACUCCUGCCUCCGAGGAGGAGCAUGGUGGCAUCAAAGAUUUCCUCUGCCACAGAUCUGAUAGAUAACGGGAAAGUGCUACUGAAUCCACUUAGAAAAAUGAAACCAAGCAAAAAGAAAUUGCCACGAGCAAGUCAAGAAAUGAGUACCCUCCAGGAGGGAGAUUUAGAAAAGAAGAUAAAACAGCACAUCCACCAAAUGCAUGAGCGAAGAUUCCAUGGCCCAGCCCCGCUGGAGGAGAUGAGGAAGGCUGCCGAGGAUCUGGAAAUUCAUACGCUGAGGCCCACUUCCUGGUACUUGGAGUGUCCUGGGCCAUGGAAGACACACAGGAAUGAAGGAAAGUGCUUUGCUGCCCGAAUUGCUGCAUGGCCAGCCCAGCCAGCUAUAGAAGGACACAGCUGCCCUCCCUGGCAGUGAACCUGGAUACCCGUGUCCCCACCCUUCUUACAGCCAUAAGAACACUGGCCUGUCUUCUCGGGCUACCCAAGGCCCCUGGCUGGUGGCGUCUUUCAGAGCCAGAGAUGGGAGAAACGAGAUGUGAGGGCAGGAUGUGGAGCCACUUCGUGGAGACCCCACCCAGCCUGACCCGGACCCCUCUUCUGAGACUCUUUUCCUCUCAGCCCAGGGAGUUCGUAUCUGCCUUUAGAUAAACUCUUAUUCUCUCUGAAUCUGUCGUUUAUGAGUAUGACCUUGUCCUUGGACACCCAAACCUUGCCUCUUAGGGCUUCAGAACAUCUGUGUCUCAACCCAUCACUUCACGUUAUGGACACAAAAGUCGAUUUGGUAUUAUGAACAACUCUAGCCACAGAUUUGUUACAUUUAGUGAAAUAGAUGAAUCCCUUGAAAGACAACGUCUGCCAAAACUUACAGAAGAAAUAAACAAUUUGA